ACGAACAGGGUCGCGCUGCCAUAUCGUUUUCGAUUCCGAUUCGGAUCCCAACUCAUCAAAAUUCAAGUCGACCUUCGGCCAAAAGAACGUCCAACAGAUCAAACGGUAGCUCAAAGGGCGAUGGCGAAGUCAGAAGAGGAUUGCAUCAAGGAGGUACGGCGCGUGCUGGUGUCGAUGACCAAUCUGAUCGGCAAGCCUUACGUGGAAGCAAAGGAAGAAUUCAAGGCCAUUCAAAAGGACGGCCGAACAGCAAUCACGACCUGUAACAAGAACAUGAAGAGCCUCUACGAGGAGUCCAGCGACAAAAUAUGGAAGCUGAUCGACACCACCCAGAACCAGACCCUCAUAUCCGCUGAGACACUCCAACAAAGCGCCAAGGCCAUUGUGGACGAGGCCGUCAAGAAGUUCAGCAAGUGAGAACGUCAGCCUGCUCUAGCUGAUCUCGUUAGUGUCGAACCUGAAGAAGCGCGAUAAAUGAGCAAAAUUUUCAAUGGCGUGCACGCGCGUGAAUGCAUAAUGCAGGCUGGAGACAAAAAAAGUUGUUGGCGUAAUAAAAAGAUGCGAGCGCUUUCA
Long non-coding RNA from Dalotia coriaria, 573 nucleotides. RefSeq lists it as uncharacterized. The record is from RefSeq and is a predicted model, not a curated record. The transcript has 2 exons. Lineage: Eukaryota; Metazoa; Arthropoda; Insecta; Coleoptera; Staphylinidae.